Dreissena polymorpha is the source of this 1766-nucleotide RNA transcript. It is a transcript of the gene named anaphase-promoting complex subunit 10-like, with no coding region annotated. NCBI's taxonomy places the organism in Eukaryota, Metazoa, Mollusca, Bivalvia, Myida, Dreissenidae. The transcript is spliced from 5 exons. The record is from RefSeq and is a predicted model, not a curated record.
GCGAUUAAACAACAACAACAAACAUUAACUUACAAACUGUUAUUGGUCAACUCAGUUAAAUUGCACUGUCAAUAGUGAAAGUUAAUGUUUCAUAUUAUCUCACGUUAAGUGUUUUAUACAGUAAGUUUUGUGGGUAUAUAGAGAAUUAUAACUCGCAGACGGUUUACAUUUUGAAGAAUCUACAUGUGAACUAUAAUCGGACGUUGUGUGAAUGGCUACCAAGUUUACUGCAAGCCAGGAGCUAGACGUAUUUAAGGAAGAGAAAGAUGGUCUCUUACGAGAGGUUGGCAACCAGGCGGUGUGGUCUUUGUCCUCUUGCAAACCUGGUUUUGGUGUAGAACAGCUAAGGGACAGUUCUUUUGAGACGUACUGGCAAUCUGACGGCCCCCAGCCCCAUCUCGUGAACAUACAGUUCCGCAGGAAGACAACUAUACAAGAUGUGUGUAUCUAUACAGACUACAAGGCUGAUGAAAGCUACACACCAAACAAGAUCUCCAUACGAGCAGGCAGCCAUUUCAACGACUUAGUCGAGGUGGAACAGAUUGAGCUCAAUGAGCCCAUUGGCUGGAUAUGUGUCCCCCUGAAAGACCUCACGAGUGGCAAGCCAGUACGAGCCUUCAUGAUACAGAUUGCUGUGCUGUCCAACCAUCAGAACGGGCGCGACACUCACGUCCGCAGGAUCAAGAUCAGGGCACCUGUACAGACCUCCAAGCUUCCACUGUUCACCAGCAUAGACUUUAAUAUGAAAUCAAUUUUAAGAUAAUCCUUUUUCCGUUUUUGGAUCGAGUGGGAAAAUCUGGUAUCUUGAUCAUUUUUGUAUUAGAAACUUUAGGUUCAUAUUCAUACCUCAGCCUGCAUUCUGGGUAGUUAAGUGGAAGUAGCUAUCAGUGCACCAUUCUCUUGUAUUAGAAGUGUUUUCAUGUGUGGAUUCUAUGCCUGGGUGAAUCUCAAAUCAGAGCAUGUGAAAUACGUGUAGAAGGUGUGGUUAAACAUUUCAUCAGGUAUUAUUUAGUUUAAGUUAUUGUCUUGAGAUGACAAGCGUCCUAAAAAAGUUGUGGUUUAUGUCUUGUACUGCUGUUUAGGAUAUCUUGCUUUGAGCGAUUGAGAUCUUUUAAUUUACUUAAGGAUACACUGAAAUGUUCCUGGUAUUAUUUUGUGUACAUGAAUGUAACUCCUUUAUAGAGAAUAAGAUUGUAUUUUGGCUACUCAGUCUUUAUGUGCACUAUUGAUUUAAAACAAAAUUUGGAUUAAUGGGUAGCUGCAACCCCUUUAAAUAAAGUAGCUGUAUGGGCAUUGCCGUGGCGUAGAUGAUAUGGUGUCCGCCUAGCGACUGGGAGGUUAUGGGUUCGAUCCCCACAGUGGGAGCAUUCUUUAGAUCUUCCCCAUAGACACCAAGUACUGGUUCUAGGCCCAGGAACUAGACUCGAGAGCGUUUAAAAUUAGCCUUAGGCUUUCUAUGCAAUCAAUCUAAAAUAAAUAGGUUUAAACUUUAAACUAAAUGAAAGAUACCUUAAAAAUAAUGCUGAUACUGUUAUAAUGUUUUGUUAGUGUUGCUAUUAAAAUGAAGAUAUUUCUUUCCACAUAUGUGUUUUUAUAGAAGGUAUUAGGUAGACUUACAGGUGCAUGAAUAAGGCACCAUUUAAAAAGUGUGUGUUAACAAAUAACUGAAGGUUUCUGGUUCAUAUAAUUAUUUAUUUCAGCAAUAAAAUACAAUGUAACUGUUUUUUAUGUGUUCGUAUUUGGUAUUAAAUAUAUACUUACAAGUA